UCCAAACCCAAAAAGGCCCAACUCUGUUGUCAAAGUGUUCCACCCGCCAACUUCCUCAAACAAACAACGCCUUAAACCCUGCGAAUUUGGCUGUGAACGUCUUCCUCAUACUCUCUAAAACAGUAUAGUAGUAUUUUUUUUAUGGCGGAAAUGGAUAUUAAUGGGCAAGUCGAAGAGGCUGCAAGGCGUGUACAGGUCCGGUUCGUAACGAAGUUGAAACCCCCAUUUAAGGCCCCGCCUACUUCCAUUGCUAUUCCCUCCAACCUCACCCGAUUGGGCCUCUCUUCCAUUGUCAACAACCUCCUUAAAGCUGGAAAGGAUGAUUGGAAUCCCGAGCCUUUCGAUUUUCUCAUUGAUGGAGAACUGGUUCGCAUGUCACUUGAAGAGUUUCUCCUUGCCAAGGGCAUUUCAGCUGAGAAAAUAUUAGAGAUUGAGUACAUUAGAGCUGUGGCUCCAAGAAAACAAGAAGAACCAUCUUUGCAUGACGACUGGGUCAGUGCAGUUGAUGGUUCUAAUUCUAAGUUUGUUUUGACUGGAUGUUAUGAUGGCUUAGGAAGAAUAUGGAAGGCUGCCGGAUCUUGUACACAUCUAUUGGAGGGCCAUACUGGGGCAGUUACUUCUGUUUGUGUUGUCAACCCAAGAGUGGCUCAAGAUGGUGCUGAUCAAAUAGUCGCUACGGCUUCCAAGGAUAGGACACUGCGGCUCUGGAAGUUUGAUGCAGAUGAGCCUUCAGAUCAGAUAAAUAGGAUUAGAGCCUAUAAAAUUUUACAUGGACAUAAUGCUUCUGUUCAAAGUGUUGCAGCAAAUCCUGCUGGAGAUAUGGUGUGUUCAGGGUCCUGGGAUUGCCAAAUAGCUCUGUGGCAAGCAAGUGGCUCAGAUACAGGUGAUGUAGUUUCAGUGAAGAAAAGGAAGAAGGGUGCCGAAGAGGAGGAUCCUCAAGUAGAAGAGGAGGCUAAAUCUACACUUGUAGGACAUUCACAAUGUGUGUCUACCGUGGUGUGGCCACAAGAUGAAGCAAUAUAUUCAGCAUCAUGGGAUCACUCUAUUAGAAGAUGGGAUGUUGAGUUGGGCAAGGAUUCAUUGAGCCUGGUGACAUGCCAUCUCUUUUCUUCUGUUCUUCCAGUCACAUCUUUACUGUCAUGUGCAUGUUUUCCUAAACUUACAUACAUAUGGAUUGGAGGGGGAGAAGUAAAUAUCAACUUGCUGAAUAUGAAAUUAUGAAAAAAUUGUGGAAGGUGUAGCACUCAAAUAUGCCAAUCCUAGUGAUAUUGCUUUCAUUUUUUGUCAGAGAUAACAUUUCUCUUCAGCAGUUAACAAUCAUAUUUUUAAAAAUUACACCAUCUUGAAAAAAAAGAUACCUCCCCAUCAUGACAAGUAGCUGGGUUUGAACUUUGUAUUGCGACAAAGUCAUUAAUUGCCUUGAUGUUGGAGGUGAAGGUUCUGCCCUCAUUGCUGCUGGUGGUUCUGACCCCAUUCUUAGGAUAUGGGAUCCUCGCAAACCAGGUACUUCGGCUCCUGUCUAUCAGUUCUCAUCGCACAGUUCUUGGAUAUCCACCUGCAAGUGGCAUGAAAAGUCACGGUUUCACUUGCUUUCUGCAUCGUAUGAUGG
This is an RNA transcript of Solanum verrucosum, 1609 nucleotides long. It is a transcript of the gene named ribosome biogenesis protein WDR12 homolog, with no coding region annotated. The transcript is spliced from 11 exons. NCBI's taxonomy places the organism in Eukaryota, Viridiplantae, Streptophyta, Magnoliopsida, Solanales, Solanaceae. The record is from RefSeq and is a predicted model, not a curated record.